Molecule: ribosomal RNA, 165 nt
Filed under: uncultured bacterium
Lineage: Bacteria
Description: partial 16S rRNA
Rfam family: Bacterial small subunit ribosomal RNA
Source: RNAcentral
UAGGGUAAUCUUCCACAAUGGACGAAAGUCUGAUGGAGCAACGCCGCGUGAGUGAAGAAGGGUUUCGGCUCGUAAAACUCUGUUGUUAAAGAAGAACAUAUCUGAGAGUAACUGUUCAGGUAUUGACGGUACUUAACCAGAAAGCCACGGCUAACUACGUGCCAG